GGGCCCGCACAAGCAGUGGAGUAUGUGGUUUAAUUCGAAGCAACGCGAAGAACCUUACCAGGGCUUGACAUCCUACUAACGAAGUAGAGAUACAUUAGGUGCCCUUCGGGGAAAGUAGAGACAGGUGGUGCAUGGUUGUCGUCAGCUCGUGUCGUGAGAUGUUGGGUUAAGUCCCGCAACGAGCGCAACCCUUACGGUUAGUUGCUACGCAAGAGCACUCUAGCCGGACUGCCGUUGACAAAACGGAGGAAGGCGGGGACGACGUCAAAUCAUCAUGCCCCUUAUGUCCUGGGCUACACACGUACUACAAUGGCGGCCAUACAAUGGGUCGCGACGCAGCGAUGCGAAGCCAAUCCUUAAAAAGCCGCCUCAGUUCAGAUUGCAGGCUGAAACUCGCCUGCAUGAAGUCGGAAUUGCUAGUAAUCGCGGAUCAGCAUGCCGCGGUGAAUACG
Molecule: ribosomal RNA, 452 nt
Filed under: uncultured Eubacteriales bacterium
Lineage: Bacteria; Bacillati; Bacillota; Clostridia; Eubacteriales
Description: bacterial SSU rRNA
Rfam family: Bacterial small subunit ribosomal RNA
Source: RNAcentral